CUUUAUUAAGCCGGAGAACAUAAACAUCAAACAACACCCUAUUUAUAGAAGCAGUAAACCGAGCAGAAACUAGUACGAUCCAUGCCAACCCUAAAUCUCAAACUUUUCUCUCUACUCUUUUUAACUGGGAAUACUUCAUCUGUUUCCUUCCCUCUGUCUCAUUCCGCUCUGAGAGGCUGCUGCUUCUUCCCACGCUUUGGCUUUGAAAGAUGCCCUUGAGCCUUAUUUUCGGCUCUGACCAGGAUGAAAGCGCUCACUCUGCCUUUUCUGGGCGUUU
Molecule: long non-coding RNA, 277 nt
Filed under: Bos taurus (domestic cattle)
Lineage: Eukaryota; Metazoa; Chordata; Mammalia; Artiodactyla; Bovidae
Description: long non-coding RNA NONBTAT012109
Source: RNAcentral